GGGCGAUUAGCUCAGUUGGUAGAGCACCUGCUUGACGUGCAGGGGGUCAGCGAUUCGAGUUCGUUAUCGCCCACCA
Molecule: transfer RNA, 76 nt
Filed under: Oscillospiraceae bacterium
Lineage: Bacteria; Bacillati; Bacillota; Clostridia; Eubacteriales; Oscillospiraceae
Description: tRNA-Val
Rfam family: tRNA
About the family: Transfer RNA (tRNA) molecules are approximately 80 nucleotides in length. Their secondary structure includes four short double-helical elements and three loops (D, anti-codon, and T loops). Further hydrogen bonds mediate the characteristic L-shaped molecular structure. tRNAs have two regions of fundamental functional importance: the anti-codon, which is responsible for specific mRNA codon recognition, and the 3' end, to which the tRNAs corresponding amino acid is attached (by aminoacyl-tRNA synthetases). tRNAs cope with the degeneracy of the genetic code in two manners: having more than one tRNA (with a specific anti-codon) for a particular amino acid; and 'wobble' base-pairing, i.e. permitting non-standard base-pairing at the 3rd anti-codon position.
Source: RNAcentral